Molecule: ribosomal RNA, 294 nt
Filed under: uncultured bacterium
Lineage: Bacteria
Description: partial 16S ribosomal RNA
Rfam family: Bacterial small subunit ribosomal RNA
Source: RNAcentral
AGCGAACGCUGGCGGCAGGCCUAACACAUGCAAGUCGAACGAAGGUCCGGAGCUUGCUCUGGAUACCUUAGUGGCGCACGGGUGAGUAACACGUGGGAAUCUACCUUGGAGCGGGGAAUAACGAUUGGAAACGAUCGCUAAUACCGCAUACGCCCUUCGGGGGAAAGGCUUCGGCCACUCCUAGAUGAUCCCGCGCCCGAUUAGCUUGUUGGUGAGGUAACGGCUCACCAAGGCUACGAUCGGUAGCUGGUCUGAGAGGAUGAUCAGCCACACUGGGACUGAGACACGGCCCAG